ACGGAAGGCAGCAGUGAGGAAUAUUGGUCAAUGGGCGGGAGCCUGAACCAGCCAAGUCGCGUGAAGAAAGACGGUAUUAUGUAUUGUAAACUUCUUUAGACGCAGAGAAAUAAGGGGCUCGCGAGCUCUGAUGCUAGUAUGCGUAGAAUAAGGAUCGGCUAACUCCGUGCCAGCAGCCGCGGUAAUACGGAGGAUCCGAGCGUUAUCCGGAUUUAUUGGGUUUAAAGGGUGCGCAGGCGGCCUGUUAAGUCAGCGGUAAAAUCGUGAGGCUCAACCUCAUCAUGCCGUUGAUACUGAUGGGCUUGAUUGCGGUCGAGGUAGGCGGAAUUCGUCGUGUAGCGGUGAAAUGCAUAGAUAUGACGAAGAACACCGAUCGCGUAGGCAGCUUACCAGACCGAAAAUGACGCUCAUGCACGAAAGUGCGGGGAUCGAACAGGAUUAGAUACCCUGGUA
RNAcentral lists this ribosomal RNA (453 nucleotides) under uncultured Porphyromonadaceae bacterium. RNAcentral's name for it is "partial 16S ribosomal RNA". It matches the Rfam family "Bacterial small subunit ribosomal RNA", at positions 341 to 792 of the family's 1533-position model. Lineage: Bacteria; Pseudomonadati; Bacteroidota; Bacteroidia; Bacteroidales; Porphyromonadaceae. The record is from RNAcentral.